Molecule: ribosomal RNA, 253 nt
Filed under: uncultured bacterium
Lineage: Bacteria
Description: partial 16S ribosomal RNA
Rfam family: Bacterial small subunit ribosomal RNA
Source: RNAcentral
GACAGAGGAUGCAAGCGUUAUCCGGAAUCAUUGGGCGUAAAGCGUCUGUAGGCGGCUUUUCAAGUCCGCCGUCAAAUCCCAGGGCUCAACCCUGGACAGGCGGUGGAAACUACCAAGCUGGAGUACGGUAGGGGCAGAGGGAAUUUCCGGUGGAGCGGUGAAAUGCAUUGAGAUCGGAAAGAACACCAACGGCGAAAGCGCUCUGCUGGGCCGACACUGACACUGAGAGACGAAAGCUAGGGGAGCAAAUGGG